GUAAGUGUUGCUGCCAGCAUGAAAGUAACUGCUAGGAACUUGUUUCCAUUAAUAUGAGCUAACUUUUAGAGGUGGAGUUAGGAAAAGACAUUACGCCAAACUCAUGCCCCAGCCUUUCAGUUUAAGAGGAAAGCAGCCAUGCGAAGUAUGCGCUUCCUCGGGGGAGAUUAUUAUCUCUGGCAGCCUUCUGAGUGAUUUGUCAAAAUGGAAUACAACCCAAAAGCUGAGUCCUCUGGGGCUUUAGAGUUAUAAAUGGGACAAGAUGAACCCCGAGAGGCUGACUGCUUCUAUUCUCCACGUACUUGGGCAGUAGUGUGGGUGCCCUCCAGGCAGAAAAGGAAACAGAUUGAUGAUGUCCAAGCAAUAUCUAUCAUUUUCUUGUCACACACUGGGUUCCCAAUAAUGCUCACCUGCCACAAAGAGCAAAAGCCUCCUUGAGCUCCCUCACCUUAAACUUUCAGUUCUGGAACCAAACUUUCAUGUGACUCUGGGAAAGACUUUUUUAUCAGGCUGGAAACCCAUGUGGACAGCUAGUUGAUCAACAGGCUUUUUUUCCAGGCUUAAAAGAUUUAGAGGCACUAGAAAGGAAGAAGAGGUAGGUGUCCCAUGGCCUCCACUAGGAAAAGGUAGAGAGGCACUCAUGUCUUGAGUCACUAAUGAAGCAGCCUUUCCUAAACGUUAUGGCAGUCUGUAUCUUAUUGCAAGACUGACAGACUGAAUGCCCAGCAGUAAAUUGAAUAGAUAGCAAAAGACAGGUACAUGCUGUUACAUGUGUUAAGAAUUAAGAUGAACUGGGGGAUAGCUUAGUCAUCAAGGUGCUUGCCUCACAGACACGAGGACUUUCAUUUAGAUCCCCACGUGCCAAGCCAAGUGUGGCACUGCGCAUCUGGAAGCUCCGUGAAGAUUAGCCUACUAACUCACACCACCUGCCUAAUGCUGCCAAACUGGUGAGCUCCAGGCUCACCAAGAGACUCUGUCUCAAAAGACAAGGUGAGGAAGACAACAUCUGGUGACCUCUGGCCUCCUCACACACAUGCUCCCAUAGACACUUGGCACCGACAUGUGCUAACUUUGGCGGCUUCAAUCCAAGAUUCAUUGGCCAUGUUGCUUUGGGCCUAUGAUGUGGGGUGUCGGGGGCAGGAAGGUGGAGAAAGACAGACUGACUAAGCUGACUCCAGAAGUGUCAGAUUGCAGUCAAGACAGCAGGCAAGUGAAUUGGUUUCAACAAAUAACCAGGUGGCUGGAGAGCAGCUUCCAACAGAUCUGUGAAUGCCAAUUCUUG
Molecule: long non-coding RNA, 1282 nt
Filed under: Cricetulus griseus (Chinese hamster)
Lineage: Eukaryota; Metazoa; Chordata; Mammalia; Rodentia; Cricetidae
Description: lncRNA (ENSCGRG00015030030.1)
Source: RNAcentral